UACGUAGGUGGCGAGCGUUAUCCGGAAUGAUUGGGCGUAAAGGGAGCGUAGGCGGGACGGCAAGUCAGAUGUGAAAACUGAGGGCUCAACUUUCAGACUGCAUUUGAAACUGCUGUUCUUGAGUGAAGUAGAGGUAAGCGGAAUUCCUAGUGUAGCGGUGAAAUGCGUAGAUAUUAGGAGGAACAUCGGUGGCGAAGGCGGCUUACUGGGCUUUUACUAACGCUGAGGCUCGAAAGCGUGGGGAGCAAACAGG
RNAcentral lists this ribosomal RNA (253 nucleotides) under uncultured Ruminococcus sp. Its description in RNAcentral is "partial 16S ribosomal RNA". It matches the Rfam family "Bacterial small subunit ribosomal RNA", at positions 524 to 776 of the family's 1533-position model. The record is from RNAcentral. Lineage: Bacteria; Bacillati; Bacillota; Clostridia; Eubacteriales; Oscillospiraceae.